GAUAGCCGAAGAUCACACCCGGGUCGAGGGUCGGGUUGGUGAUCAGACGGACAUCACCACCGCCUGGUGCCCAGGUGUCGUAAACGCCACCGAAGAACAUGGCCUUGAAGACCAGCAGCAGGCAGCCGACGCCGAGAAGAAUCAGGUGAUAACCAAUGAUGUUGGUCAUCUGAUUCUUGUCCCGCCA
This is a non-coding RNA of Synechococcus sp. KORDI-100, 187 nucleotides long. It matches the Rfam family "Antisense RNA which regulates isiA expression". The record is from Rfam. Lineage: Bacteria; Bacillati; Cyanobacteriota; Cyanophyceae; Synechococcales; Synechococcaceae.